GACGAACGCUGGCGGCGUGCUUAACACAUGCAAGUCGAACGGAAAGGCCAGUGCUUGCACUGGUGCUCGAGUGGCGAACGGGUGAGUAACACGUGGGUGAUCUGCCUUGCACUCUGGGAUAAGCUUGGGAAACUGGGUCUAAUACCGGAUAGGAACCGUCUUUAGUGUGGUGGUUGGAAAGUUUUUUCGGUGCAAGAUGAGCUCGCGGCCUAUCAGCUUGCUGGUGGGGUAAUGGCCUACCAAGGCGUCGACGGGUAGCCGGCCUGAGAGGGUGUACGGCCACAUUGGGACUGAGAUACGGCCCAGACUCCUACGGGAGGCAGCAGUGGGGAAUAUUGCACAAUGGGCGGAAGCCUGAUGCAGCGACGCCGCGUGGGGGAUGACGGCCUUCGGGUUGUAAACUCCUUUCGACAGGGACGAAGCGUUAUGUGACGGUACCUGUAUAAGAAGCACCGGCUAACUACGUG
RNAcentral lists this ribosomal RNA (467 nucleotides) under uncultured bacterium. Its description in RNAcentral is "partial 16S ribosomal RNA". It matches the Rfam family "Bacterial small subunit ribosomal RNA", at positions 28 to 507 of the family's 1533-position model. The record is from RNAcentral.